RNAcentral lists this ribosomal RNA (1445 nucleotides) under uncultured organism. Its description in RNAcentral is "16S ribosomal RNA". It matches the Rfam family "Bacterial small subunit ribosomal RNA". The record is from RNAcentral.
UGGCGGCGUGCUUAACACAUGCAAGUCGAACGAUGAAGCCUAGCUUGCUAGGUGGAUUAGUGGCGAACGGGUGAGUAAUACGUGAGUAACCUACCUUUAACUCUGGGAUAAGCCUGGGAAACUGGGUCUAAUACCGGAUACGACCGAUCUCCGCAUGGGGUGUUGGUGGAAAGCGUUAUGUAGUGGUUAUAGAUGGGCUCACGGCCUAUCAGCUUGUUGGUGAGGUAACGGCUCACCAAGGCGACGACGGGUAGCCGGCCUGAGAGGGUGACCGGCCACACUGGGACUGAGACACGGCCCAGACUCCUACGGGAGGCAGCAGUGGGGAAUAUUGCACAAUGGGCGCAAGCCUGAUGCAGCGACGCCGCGUGAGGGAUGACGGCCUUCGGGUUGUAAACCUCUGUUAGCAGGGAAGAAGAGAAAUUGACGGUACCUGCAGAGAAAGCGCCGGCUAACUACGUGCCAGCAGCCGCGGUAAUACGUAGGGCGCGAGCGUUGUCCGGAAUUAUUGGGCGUAAAGAGCUUGUAGGCGGUUUGUCGCGUCUGCUGUGAAAGGCCGGGGCUUAACCCCGUGUAUUGCAGUGGGUACGGGCAGACUAGAGUGCAGUAGGGGAGACUGGAAUUCCUGGUGUAGCGGUGGAAUGCGCAGAUAUCAGGAGGAACACCGAUGGCGAAGGCAGGUCUCUGGGCUGUAACUGACGCUGAGAAGCGAAAGCAUGGGGAGCGAACAGGAUUAGAUACCCUGGUAGUCCAUGCCGUAAACGUUGGGCACUAGGUGUGGGGGACAUUCCACGUUUUCCGCGCCGUAGCUAACGCAUUAAGUGCCCCGCCUGGGGGAGUACGGCCGCAAGGCUAAAACUCAAAGAAAUUGACGGGGGCCCGCACAAGCGGCGGAGCAUGCGGAUUAAUUCGAUGCAACGCGAAGAACCUUACCAAGGCUUGACAUAUACUGGACCGCAUCAGAGAUGGUGUUUCCCUUCGGGGCUGGUAUACAGGUGGUGCAUGGUUGUCGUCAGCUCGUGUCGUGAGAUGUUGGGUUAAGUCCCGCAACGAGCGCAACCCUCGUUCUAUGCUGCCAGCACGUUAUGGUGGGGACUCAUAGGAGACUGCCGGGGUCAACUCGGAGGAAGGUGGGGAUGACGUCAAAUCAUCAUGCCCCUUAUGUCUUGGGCUUCACGCAUGCUACAAUGGCCGGUACAGAGGGUUGCGAUACUGUGAGGUGGAGCUAAUCCCUAAAAGCCGGUCUCAGUUCGGAUUGGGGUCUGCAACUCGACCCCAUGAAGUCGGAGUCGCUAGUAAUCGCAGAUCAGCAACGCUGCGGUGAAUACGUUCCCGGGCCUUGUACACACCGCCCGUCAAGUCACGAAAGUUGGUAACACCCAAAGCCGGUGGCCUAACCUUUUUGGAGGGAGCCGUCUAAGGUGGGAUUGGCGAUUGGGACUAAG